Takifugu rubripes (torafugu) is the source of this 2763-nucleotide long non-coding RNA. The record is from Ensembl. Lineage: Eukaryota; Metazoa; Chordata; Actinopteri; Tetraodontiformes; Tetraodontidae.
AUGGAGUCAAAACAGCGAGUUGGUGCCCGUGGCGGCAGAAAUGUGACCCCGCCCCCCAGUCACGCGGCGAGCAGCUGGUGCCAUGGUGACAGCUCGGAGAACUCGGAAACCAGAAACCCGCCAGUCGACCCGGCACUCGGAACGUCGGGAAGUGGUUUUCCUUUCAGAGGGACUCGUUUUUUUCCUGAGGAACGAUCCGGAAUUCCUUCUGAACCCCCAGAACAUCGGGAUGGUGGACCGGGCCGGACCCUGCCCCCUGACCCGGGUCCUGACAUUCCAACCAGAGCAGCUGCUCUCAGACCUUCUCCCGCCUCCGUUAGCUCCGCCCCCUCCACGUACUCACGAUAUCACGAUGGCGGCGGUCCGGACCUAAAUAACCCGGCUGCCCCCCCCAGGAGCCGAGACGGAUUGGGAGACAGAACCGGAUCCUGUUUCAGUCCAACAUUCGCCUCCAGAACUCCGAAACGACCCAAAGUCGGUGCCAGACCCAACUUGGCUGAACGAGGCGGCCCGGACGCGUCCUGCUGAGGUGGCGCUCACGCUCACAUGCACGCUCACGUGCACGCCCACGUGCACGCCCACGUGCACGCUCACGUGCAGGUUUUACACCCCAAAUCUGUCCGAUCCUACAACAAUCGCGCCUCAAACGUGCGUUACCAUGACGCUAAAGCUAGCGGCGGUGAAAGAUGGCGCCGCCGCCGCGGCGGGACAGUUUAAUUUCAGGCUCCGUCGACCACGAGCGCGAGCGUGGCGGCGCUGAAGCUAUUAGUCCCCGGGUCAAUGUGGCGAGCGCGUUACCGCGACGACUCCAUUACUGCGCUUCAGUAACACCCUGCCUGUGGGGGGGGGGGGGGGGCAGCUUUGAUUUGUAGCGCUGCUAACGCAGGACGAGCGUAAUCGCUCAGCGGCGAGCUGGUGCCAGAGACGCCGUCUCUCCGGUUCUGGACUCGCUCUUGGCGGCGGUUCAGCUCCGGACACUUAAAGCUGCCAGCAAAUCCGGGCGGGCAGCUGGUGAAACCCGAUCUCCAUCCAAUCAACGCCAGGUUCUCGCCCCGCCGUCCCCGGGGACCGAUUCCGAUCCUCCCGGCCCGGCGCGGCGGCGGCGUCUGCUUUAGCUUUAGCUCGCCGCAGACGGUCGUGAAUUCAGAGGCGCUAAAGAAGCUGUUUGUGCUUCUGAAUUAGCAAAGACGACGUUUGACUGAAAGAACAAAGGAACGUUUUCAUUGAUGUUUCCUUUCGUGGCCGUUAAAGGAGGAAUCGCCGCCGCCGCAGGAACGAUCUGGCUAAAACGACUCGUUUGCUGUUGGAAAAACUGCUCAUUUUUCCGGCCAAGUCGCCUGAAACGAUGCUGCUGGUGUCCGUAGAUACGGAUCCACCGCUAACGUUCAGUUAGCAUACGUCAGUCUGACGCUAACAAUACCCGCGCAUGCUAAGGAAGGCUCACGGUAACUGACGAUACUGGCCAACGCUUAGCGUCCAGACGCUCUUUUUGGGUCAUGUGACCCUGUGGCUCCGCUAGCCGCUGUGUUCGGUGAUGACAUCGUUAGCUUGGGUCAUUCUGAGCUUUUUUUUAACUGUAAUUUAGUUAAAAGGGUCUUGUAGCGUCCAGCGAGCUAGCUGGCAGCGGUGUCGGGGGGGGGGGGGCGGACACAGGAGCCACUUUUGUUCCAGCUUCUGCUCCAAACACAACAUGCGGGGUCAAAGGUCGGCGAACAGGACUGGCUAACGGCGGCGGUGACGAGCGCUAACGGCGGGGCUUGUUUACAAUGUGCUUAAUGUUCCCAGAGGAGCCGCGUGAUCCCGGGAUCUGGACCGGGACUCGGACCUCGUCAUCGUCUGGUUCGCUCAUGUUUACGUUCUUGUCUGGAGCUAAACACGCCGUUAUUACCCGUUUACUGCCGCCGCCGCCGCCGCCUGUCUGACCACGACUCAGGUACCUGCGGGACAAACUCCUCGGAGCGCUCCGGGAACAGAACCAGGUUCCACUUAUGAGCGCUUGGCUGUUAACGGACUGACAGGCGGCGUCUGCUCAGCAUCAGCCGCGUCAACGUAACAGACGGCGGCGGCGGUGACGGCGGCGGCGGCGGUGACGCAACCCUGUCAGGAGGAUGUUAGCGUGCUUGAAGCUGUCAAGUCCAUCGCGGUCCAGGUCGAACCUUCGCCAGCAGCUCUUGAUGGAUAACACUCAAGUCCCGCCUCCUCUGCUCACUUCCUGUUAGCAUUUCGCUUGAUGCGAGGCAACGGUGAUGAUGAUUAAAACGCCUUCAGGCUAAGCUACGCUAGCUUAAUGGAAGAAAUCGGUUUGUUCUCAUUCGUUUAAUAUUACGGCCAUUUUUCAGGGUUAAAGUGACCGUUGACCUCAUCUUCACGUAAUCAGCGGCGCUAACGGCGCCGACGGUGUUUAUGUUCCGUCAUUAAAGUUGCGUGUUUAUGUUUCUGCAGAAUUUAUGUUUCCUGUCAGCGGGCUAACAAACGACUACGUUGGUUAUUUGUUCACGGACAAAGACAAUAACUCACGUCGACAUCCGUCACUUUGUUUUCUCUACGCAGAUGCUAAUCGCUUUAGCUUUGGCGCAACCGUCAUGUUAACGACCAGAACAAUCAGAUCGCGUAAGCUAGCCAAGGCGGCGCCGGAGUCAAACGUCACGUCAGGAAUCGACGCGUCUUUAAAACCAGAACGCUCGCUGUUCCUAACGGCUAACAGCUAACGGCUAACUGACACAGCCAAACUCACUGUUUGGUGGAUUAACUGUUUAAUCUGAU